GAGUUUGAUCCUGGCUCAGAUUGAACGCUGGCGGCAGGCCUAACACAUGCAAGUCGAGCGGAUGACGGGAGCUUGCUCCUUGAUUCAGCGGCGGACGGGUGAGUAAUGCCUAGGAAUCUGCCUGGUAGUGGGGGACAACGUUUCGAAAGGAACGCUAAUACCGCAUACGUCCUACGGGAGAAAGCAGGGGACCUUCGGGCCUUGCGCUAUCAGAUGAGCCUAGGUCGGAUUAGCUAGUUGGUGGGGUAAUGGCUCACCAAGGCGACGAUCCGUAACUGGUCUGAGAGGAUGAUCAGUCACACUGGAACUGAGACACGGUCCAGACUCCUACGGGAGGCAGCAGUGGGGAAUAUUGGACAAUGGGCGAAAGCCUGAUCCAGCCAUGCCGCGUGUGUGAAGAAGGUCUUCGGAUUGUAAAGCACUUUAAGUUGGGAGGAAGGGCAGUAAGUUAAUACCUUGCUGUUUUGACGUUACCGACAGAAUAAGCACCGGCUAACUCUGUGCCAGCCGCCGACGG
Molecule: ribosomal RNA, 517 nt
Filed under: bacterium enrichment culture clone ALO1_GLFRUDD03GKNAD
Lineage: Bacteria
Description: bacterial SSU rRNA
Rfam family: Bacterial small subunit ribosomal RNA
Source: RNAcentral